UGUCAAUUUAUGGUCAGUAUCGUGGUAUGGUAAUUUGGCUAAUUCGUGUUUGAGGCCAGUUAAGAUGUUUAACUGACAUUUAAUUGUUGUUCAAUUUCCAAAUUAAUUUAAGUUUUUCAAUUGCAAACGAAUCAUCAGACGUCUAAGUGACUGAAGUCCCUUUGUGACGCGGUGAAUAAAGAACGUUGUUUCCGUUCCUUCCGGACUGCGAACACAGGUCUACAAACACGCUCCCCAAAAGCAGGUGUCAUCGGGGAUGAGGACAGACGUGAAAGGCGUGAUGUAAGGUCAUGUUUUGGAAGAACGGGUAACUGCAGCCCGCAAUUCGGGCGUUCCUACAUUUGAAGCAGCCUACCGUCCUCCACCGUCCUCCACCGUCCUCAUGGCUGAAGAGAUCAGGAAAAUAGGUGCUCUGCUAGAUCAGCCUCUGAGUGAGAAAGACCAAGAACUCAUCACUUACGUCAAGCACAAGUUUUCCACCGACUUCAAAAAAGACCACAGUUACUUCUCUGAGAAGGUUGUUACCCGCAGUGACACAAAGUAUGGCCUCAAACAAAAUGGCCAGGCCAGGAAGAACUAUUACAGGAGACAGGAGCUGCUCAGUAAAGGCUUUUUCUCCCCUGUCAACAAACCAUACAAAACAGUGGGAAUGCUUUACUCUGACAACGUUGAUCUCUUCUCAACCUGGCUCACAUCAGAGGACCAAAAGUCACUGAAGACACAGUGGGACAAGAAGUUUGGAAAAAAGACAGUGAUCUCCAGCAAAUUCACUCAGGAGAAGACUAAAAAGGAGGAGAACGUCAGAGCCCCUCCAGUGGAGAACCUGAAUGGUUUCUUCCAGCUGAAGCAGUACAUGAGAGAGAUGGUCUCCAUCAGACACGCUCUCCACACUGGACGCCCCCUCAUAUAUUGCCUCAGGGACCAGGAUAAACCGUUACUGCUAAUGAAGAAACCUGUGCCUCCUAAGACACCAUGUGACCGAGCCAUAUCAGCUGAUAAAGAGACUAUAGCACCAUUGUCCAUGAACCAACAGGCACUGGACCCAGAGGAAGAGGAGAACCUACAGAGGAUACAGUACAGGAAGCAGAAGCUGUUCUUAGAGAAACUCCAGUGGAUUUACAUGGUCCUGUGUGGCAUCUCUCACAUGCGAAACAGAGACCUGAAGACACUGGUUCCUCUCAACAGCAGCUAUGUGAACAUCAUCAUGAAGGACACAGAGAAGACCAACAUCCUGUUGAAGCAGUCGCACAGCUACAACCCUCCGUUGAAUUACACCAGGCAGCUGGUGUCCCUGGCCCCCGAGGACUGUCACAGCAUCAGCCGUGACGUGUGGGACACCUUUAUCAGCCACCAGGACACCACAGAGCCCUCGAAGUUAACCACCAUCCGAACCGCAGGAUAUAAAGCUCUGCAGUCGGGGCCCAGGCGCAAGGUUGGCCAGAGAGAGCCAGACGGAGAUGGAUACAUGCCCCCAUGGCUGCUGCUGGAUGAGAACACGUCCCUAGAGAAGAAAACAGUAAAGCCUGGUGUAGACCAGUCAGGCAUGCUGGAGAGAGCCAAGGCCCAAUACCGGGAUGUGAAGAAAGUUCUGAACGUCCCGAUGGAGUCCAUAGUGUUUCAAAAGAGAAAGAACCGAGGGGAGAGGAUGAGAACUCUUUUCAAUGCUCUAAUGGCCUCAAAGACCAACGCUGGUCUGUCCUCACUCCUUACCUCUCUGAAGAGUGAGCUGAAGGAGCCCAAAUCCACCACAGGUCUCUGGUUUGCGACACUGCAGAGUGAUGCCACAGAAUUGUCCGGAGACAGAGACUCCAAAUACAACAGCAUACUGCAGAAGAUCUCAGAGUUUCAAAGCUUCUCCAACAAAAAGCUCCCCUACUCCAAGGAGAAGUUCUGUCUCCUGGUCCUCUCCAUGUCACCCAAUCAGCUGCUUCGACCGGCCAUGCAGGAAGCACUGCUCUUCCUCACGGAGAACGUGCUGCUGUUGUUGCCGCGGCACCUCAAACAGUGGUACCAGUACCUGAAGCUCCCAUUCCCCACCACGGCAACCGCCUCCUAAAAAAGAAAAGGGAUCCGCCUACCUACACUGAUGCUCUGUGUUCUUCACUACCUGUCUACAAUGUGGGCCUGGGACUUACAGGCCUGAGUUGAGUCUGAAAUGGUUCUUUAUCCUCAACAUAGCCCCCUAUAUUGGGGAAUAUAGUCAUUUCAGACAGCCCUAGGUUCUUGGUGGGAUAGUCAAUGUUGGGGGCUCAGGUAAAGACUAUCUGUUCACUGGUUGAGCCAUUAAAACAUGUUAAAAAAUAUCAGUUUUUCUCUAAACUGAUUUUUUGGUAAUGUUUUUGAAUGUUAAGCUAUUGGGUUGUGAAG
RNAcentral lists this long non-coding RNA (2367 nucleotides) under Salmo salar (Atlantic salmon). Its description in RNAcentral is "lncRNA (ENSSSAG00000079041.2)". The record is from RNAcentral. Lineage: Eukaryota; Metazoa; Chordata; Actinopteri; Salmoniformes; Salmonidae.